Molecule: ribosomal RNA, 448 nt
Filed under: uncultured bacterium
Lineage: Bacteria
Description: bacterial SSU rRNA
Rfam family: Bacterial small subunit ribosomal RNA
Source: RNAcentral
CGCCAGACUCCUACGGGAGGCAGCAGUGGGGAAUAUUGCACAAUGGGGGAAACCCUGAUGCAGCAACGCCGCGUGAGUGAAGAAGUAUUUCGGUAUGUAAAGCUCUAUCAGCAGGGAAGAAGGAAGACGGUACCUGACUAAGAAGCCCCGGCUAACUACGUGCCAGCAGCCGCGGUAAUACGUAGGGGGCGAGCGCUAUCCGGAUUUACUGGGUGUAAAGGGAGCGUAGACGGUUAAUCAAGUCUGAAGUGAAAGCCCGCGGCUCAACUGCGGAACGGCUUUGGAAACUGGCGCGCUUGAGUGCGGGAGGGGUAAGCGGAAUUCCUAGUGUAGCGGUGAAAUGCGUAGAUAUUAGGAGGAACACCGGUGGCGAAGGCGGCUUACUGGACCGUAACUGACGUUGAGGCUCGAAAGCGUGGGGAGCAAACAGGAUUAGAUACCCUCGUAA